GGCGGCCUAAUACAUGCAAGUCGAACGAACUCUGGUAUUGAUUGGUGCUUGCAUCAUGAUUUACAUUUGGUGAGUGGCGAACUGGUGAGUAACACGUGGGAAACCUGCCCGAAGCGGGGGAUAACACCUGGAAACAGAUGCUAAUACCGCAUAACAACUUGGACCGCAUGGUCCGAGUUUGAAAGAUGGCUUCGGCUAUCACUUUUGGAUGGUCCCGCGGCGUAUUAGCUAGAUGGUAGGUAACGGCUCACCAUGGCAAUGAUACGUAGCCGACCUGAGAGGGUAAUCGGCCACAUUGGGACUGAGACACGGCCCAAACUCCUACGGGAGGCAGCAGUAGGGAAUCUUCCACAAUGGACGAAAGUCUGAUGGAGCAACGCCGCGUGAGUGAAGAAGGGUUUCGGCUCGUAAAACUCUGUUGUUAAAGAAGAACAUAUUGAGAGUAACUGUUCAGGUAUUGACGGUAUUUAACCAGAAAGCCACGGCUAACUACGUGCCAGCAGCCGCGGUAAUACGUAGGUGGCAAGCGUUGUCCGGAUUUAUUGGGCGUAAAGCGAGCGCAGGCGGUUUUUUAAGUCUGAUGUGAAAGCCUUCGGCUCAACCGAAGAAGUGCAUCGGAAACUGGGAAACUUGAGGCAGAAGAG
Molecule: ribosomal RNA, 644 nt
Filed under: Lactiplantibacillus plantarum
Lineage: Bacteria; Bacillati; Bacillota; Bacilli; Lactobacillales; Lactobacillaceae
Description: bacterial SSU rRNA
Rfam family: Bacterial small subunit ribosomal RNA
Source: RNAcentral